Molecule: ribosomal RNA, 194 nt
Filed under: uncultured bacterium
Lineage: Bacteria
Description: partial 16S ribosomal RNA
Rfam family: Bacterial small subunit ribosomal RNA
Source: RNAcentral
CCUACGGGAGGCAGCAGUGGGGAAUUUUGGACAAUGGGCGCAAGCCUGAUCCAGCAAUGCCGCGUGCAGGAUGAAGGCCUUCGGGUUGUAAACUGCUUUUGUACGGAACGAAAAGGUCUGCCCUAAUACGGUGGGCCCAUGACGGUACCGUAAGAAUAAGCACCGGCUAACUACGUGCCAGCAGCCGCGGUAAU